Molecule: ribosomal RNA, 468 nt
Filed under: uncultured bacterium
Lineage: Bacteria
Description: partial 16S ribosomal RNA
Rfam family: Bacterial small subunit ribosomal RNA
Source: RNAcentral
GACGAACGCUGGCGGCGUGCUUAAAAAAUGAAAGUCGAACGGAAAGGCCCUGCUUUUGGGGGGUGCGCGAGUGGCGAACGGGUGAGUAACACGUGAGUAACCUGCCCUUGACUUUGGGAUAACUUCAGGAAACUGGGGCUAAUACCGGAGAGGAGCUCCUGCUGCAUGGUGGGGGUUGGAAAGUUUCGGCGGUUGGGGAUGGACUCGCGGCUUAUCAGCUUGUUGGUGGGGUAGUGGCUUACCAAGGCUUUGACGGUGAGCCGGCCUGAGAGGGUGACCGGCCACAUUGGGACUGAGAUACGGCCCAGACUCCUACGGGAGGCAGCAGUGGGGAAUAUUGCACAAUGGGCGGAAGCCUGAUGCAGCAACGCCGCGUGCGGGAUCCCGGCCUUCGUGUUGUAAACCUCUUUCGCCUGUGACGAAGCGUGAGUGACGGUAAUGGGUAAAGAAGCACCGGCUCCCUACGUC